GACGAACGCUGGCGGCGUGCUUAACACAUGCAAGUCGAACGGAAAGGCCCUGCUUUUGUGGGGUGCUCGAGUGGCGAACGGGUGAGUAACACGUGAGUAACCUGCCCUUGACUUUGGGAUAACUUCAGGAAACUGGGGCUAAUACCGGAUAGGAGCUCCUGCUGCAUGGUGGGGGUUGGAAAGUUUCGGCGGUUGGGGAUGGACUCGCGGCUUAUCAGCUGGUUGGUGGGGUGGUGGCUUACCAAGGCUUUGACGGGUAGCCGGCCUGGGAGGGUGACCGGCCACAUUGGGACUGAGAUACGGCCCAGACUCCUACGGGAGGCAGCAGUGGGGAAUAUUGCACAAUGGGCGGAAGCCUGAUGCAGCAACGCCGCGUGCGGGAUGACGGCCUUCGGGUUGUAAACCGCUUUCGCCUGUGACGAAGCGUGAGUGACGGUAAUGGGUAAAGAAGCACCGGCUAACUACGUG
Molecule: ribosomal RNA, 468 nt
Filed under: uncultured bacterium
Lineage: Bacteria
Description: partial 16S ribosomal RNA
Rfam family: Bacterial small subunit ribosomal RNA
Source: RNAcentral